Molecule: long non-coding RNA, 5662 nt
Filed under: Nicotiana benthamiana
Lineage: Eukaryota; Viridiplantae; Streptophyta; Magnoliopsida; Solanales; Solanaceae
Description: long non-coding RNA (NBEN_LNC036145)
Source: RNAcentral
AUAUCUCUGCGUAGAAUAUGUGAGAAAUCGACUCAAUGCAGGAACUUUUAAGGUAAAAUUUUCAUCUCUUUUCUUGAUUCUUUUGUCAUCUUAUUACUGUUUUACAUUUGGAGGAGGGUAAAAAUUUACCCAUUAUCGCUAAUUAAAAACUUAUGUUUGUAUAUUUAAAUCUGCACCCAUUAUCUAAAAGUAGUAGUAAUUGUAGCAGUACUUUGCACUAAAGAUUAAAAGCUUUGAAUUAUUUGUGGGUUUUCCCUUAAAACUGAUGUAGGUCCAAGCAAUUGAAGUAAAACCCAGAAAAGCUGUCCCAUCGGAAAAAACCCUGUAAAGCUAGUACUCACACACUCUUUUUUCAUGAGCAUUUAUAGAUUAUUAUACCUCAGAAUUCCCAUGCUUUUUUUUUGACUAAUUUUGAAGUUGGUGUAUUGAUUUAAGGGAUUCUGAAUUGAAGCAAAUUGGAAAUUCAUGGAUGAGCUUAAACUAUACUUUAUCUCAAUUUUUCAUUUGGCUCGGUGGUGAUUUUGCGAUGAAAAACCAAAGCAAUAACUUUAGGAACUAAAGUUUAAAAAACCUAGUAGAGUCGACACUAGGUAAAUACUUAGCUAGUAUUUAGACAUAGAUUUUAUUGAAACUUGAAAAAAAAGAGUUUUUGAAGUUGUGUUGAAAAAUAAUUUUUGAAAAUUGAAGUUGUAUUUUGGACAUAUAUUUUAUUUGAAGAAAAGUUUGAAGUUUUGUGAGCAAAAGAAAAAAUUUCAUCCAAAAACUGCUCUAAACCAGUUCUUAGGAACUUGAAAUUUUUUGUUUUUUUAUUCAAUACAUGAUCCUAUUUCAUAAACAAACAAUGUUUACAAAUUUUUUUGAAAAAAAGAAGCUAAAAUCUAUUGGAGCUUAACAUUUGUCAAAGUUGUUGUAGAUUAGUUGAGGUGCGUAUAAGUUGGCGCUGUUACCACUAGCUUAGGAGCAAACUUCGUGCGGCCACCUCUAAUCUCUAUGGAGAAAAGCACAAAUACAAAAAUUGAUCAGUGUACUUCAUUGUUUAUCAUUGACUAAUGAUCCUUACCUUUUAUAAUAUAUAUAGUGGGAACUUAAAAGAGCAAGAACAUAAUUGUUAAAAACAAACACAAAGCAAAUUAUGCAGCAGUGGUAAGACAUGCUGCAAUUUUCAUGCCUACACCUUUCUUAUAAUGAUAUCCUUUUAUCUUUUUCCUUUAACAUUCCUUUUCUUUUUAUCCGCUUUGCCAGCUUUUAUGGAUCUGAAUUUUCUCAACAAUAUCUCAUGACAUCUAACAAUAAACUUAUACUAAUAACUAUUCUGGAUGCUUGCAUUAGUUUAUCAGUUUGCCACGAAAUUCAAGAGGACUGCUUACAUUUUGGUUUACUUGUUACUUCAACAAUGAAUUUUGUGAGAAUCAACUAAAACGAAUGGGAUAUUAUUUAUUAUUGAUUAUUUAGUCACUCCACUUGUAUUAUAAAAUGUAGUCAGUACUACUAACUUACAUAUUAUUUAUUAUUGAUUAUUUAGUUGGUUUACUUGUUACUUCAACAAUGAAUUUUGUGAGAAUCAACUAAAACGAAUGGGAUAUUAUUUAUUAUUGAUUAUUUAGUCACUCCACUAUUAUUAUUAAAAGAUGUUUGUUAAUAGCAUCAAGAAUACUAGUGAUGGUUAAAUCCAAGAUAUGGAUUUUUGUUGAGAGAAGAAGUAAUUCUAAGACACUCUUUUAACAAAGUUCUUUUUAUUUCCUUUCAGUUCACAGUAAUUUCUUUAUGUUAUACGCAUUUAAUAAAAUCGUCCUUUCCGGUUGCGCAAUGGUUGAAUAGCUUGGAAUCUGUCUCCCUCCUCGCUCAAAAAUAGAAGACCACAGUACAAGUUUUAAUGGCUCUAGAACUCAGGUAGAGCUGAAAUUCCAAAUGCUAAAUGUGUUAAGAUACACACAACAUUGGCAAACAUUAUGCUUUUUGUUGCAAAAGCUAUGUGUCGUACUUUCUCCUGUAUCUAUAUGUCCUUAAUACUUUGUGGAUGAAGUCCUCUUUUUUGUUUGAUCUCGAUAAUUCCAAUCGAAGUGGUCAGCUGCUGAUAUCAAUUUCAGGAACUGCCUGCCGAUGUGGUCCAAAGUUGACGAGAUUUUAGCACUCAUUGGAAGGCAGAUAAAUUCCAUGCCAUUCUUGAUAAAAAUAGGGAAGUUGGAUUGCUCAUUUUUAUGAAAGAAAAGCAAAGUCAGCUAUCACCUGUUUCAAGUGACAAAAGGGUAAUCGUGCUGAUUAGAAGAUUUAUUCUGUCUUGUGGAGACUAGACAGGUAGAAAAUUCCAUAUGUUUUCUCUAGAAGGAGUUUCACUUAAAUCAGGAGAUUGAUCAUAGUCAAGGAAGGAAGAUAAAGAUGACCGGUUAUUGCUCACAGGGGCUCUUGGAAAGUAUUAAUGAGGAAUCGUUAGAUAUCAUUCUGGCAGAGGAACUGAACUAAGGAUCUACUCUUCCAUGGCUAACAUCUGCAACAGCUCAAGGCUUCAUAUUCCAAGCUAUUGUAUUCUACUUAAAUACGUAAACAGAGUGGAAGUUGUUACUCAAUAUACAAUUAGCUGAAGAAGGUGAUGAUUUAACACUAUUUGGAGUCUUCUCCCUUAAUUAUGUGCAAGGCAAUGCACCUUAUUUGAUUUGAGUUUGUAGUUUACUACCAUAAUCCUUGAUAUUAGUGUGCCUUUUUUUUGAUUUUAUUUAAAAAAUUUUCUUCACUUGAGGGAGUUGGGAUCUUAAGUAACUGCUAGAUUUUGUUUGGUCCCCAGGUCCCUUGACUUUAUGAAUUUAAAAAGCUUAUGGCAAGGAUCAAUCACUGGCUUUUUUAACGAAGAUAUGCAUUUGAGAUUUCAAUUGUCCUGUUGAGGAUUUGUGUGCAUGGGAAUAUGACCAGCUCUAGCUGUUGUAGAAGGUAUGCUGCUUAUAUGCUAAUGUCUGCGGUUUGGUGGUAUUCUUGAAGUGGAGUCUUAGUCUCUUAGUUGCCGAGGUUGGCGAACACUGACUUUCUUCACUAUGUUAUAAACACAUAGGCUUUUGCUGGCUUCACGACUUAAAUCUCAAAAAGAAGAACAAGAAAAUUACUGAAAGAAUACACAUCAAUUUCCUCUUUUUCAAUGUCUAUCUUCAAAGUUAUAAGUCUCUAUUUAACUUUUAAGAGCUUGUGGUCAGAGGAAUUCACCGCUAGCCGUUUGGGUGUGGUCUUAACCAUACUUUACGGGGAAAAUGUGUUGUUGAUGAAAAGUGAUUCCUAUGUGUGGGCUAAUGAUGAUUUGAUUGUCGUAAAGGUUGUGAAAAAAGAGAUAAAGUGUUCACUUCAGAUAUACACUUAUCAGUUUGCACUCUAUAACCAGAUCCUGAGUGCAUGAUGACAAUGUGUGUUUUCGCAUGAUGUAUGUUUUUUACCACUGGAUGUGAUGGUGUUUACGUACCCCUUGCUACCAAAAUGUCAAAAGCCAGUAUGUGAUUAAUGAUGAAGGGGGACAUAAUGCGAAAUGUCAUUUUGAAGUUCUUGAAAUAUACAGAUUCAAAAUUGCUUAUAACCUAACCUGCAUAAACCGUAUGUUUGAGUUUCACUUUUGCUUUUCCUAGACCAACUUCGGAGGUCCCCUGCUGGGCUUAUUCACCUAACCUUUCUUUCUGUUAUUUUGCACUGUUUUCAAAACAUCUGUCAAAAUGUUUUACUUUGUUAAAUUCUUCAAAGGUUUAUGAUUCUUUUUAUGGUUGCAAAGUUUCCUGUGUUCUUUUCUUUUGGUCGCAUAACCGAUAGAACAUCCUGAGUAGUAAAUCCUUGUGCUUUAGGUUGUCAUUGGUAUUGUCCGGAAUGUUGAUUUAUCUGUAGAGUACUCAUUUCAGUUGGACUCAUAUAACCUGACAGCAUCAUUGGUAUAGUCCGGAAUGUUAAUUUAUCUGUAGAGUACUCAUUUCAGUUAGACUCAUAUAAGCUGACAGUUCUGUGCAAAAGGAAGUGCCUUUUCAUACCUUACUAUAGAAAUUCUUAAUAUUAAAAAUAAUUCAAUACCAGUUCACACAGUAAUCCUACUAAAACGAAAAAACUUCUAUACUCUUAUAAUGCAUUAAGAAUAUGCAAUCAUUCUAUAUAUGGUGUAAUAGGGGUCAGCAAAACUAUGCCAGCCACACAAAAGAAAACACCAAAAAUAUAAAUAUAGGUAAUAGUCUUACUAUACUAGCAUUGAUCAUGAUCUCCCUGAAUUCUGUUGCUCGAUGGUUUGCCGACUUGUAAACAAUCAAUUGGAGGUAGAGUAGGAGUAUACAACUCUCCGAACGUCUGCCAACAAUAUGGAUCAUACAUGUGGUAACGCUCUUGUAUUGGCUUUAAUUGGAUAUCCGUCAACGUCACGUCUUGGCAUGGCAUACUGUCACUGCAUGCUAGAUGCACUGGUUUUAAUUGGAUAUCCGUCAAGGUCACGUCUUGGCAUGGCAUACUGUCACUGCAUGCUAGAUGCACUGGUUUUACUGUAUAUGUUCCUCUAAUUCUUUCAAAGUUGAUUCCUGAUAAAGCCACUGCAGAUGUCUGGUUCUUACAUUUGCUCUUGUCGCAAUAGAACUGAUCAAUUACAAUUGGUAGUUGGACUUCUGAAACUUGAAUGUUCGAGAAAAACACUCCUUGUACUGACCCUGACCCUCCCUGCAGUAGUAGAAUCGCACAUUAGUUUUGGUUAUAGAAAAGAUUCGAACUCUAAUUCCUGAAAUCGGAUUUGUAGAAAUAUGUAGUCCAGAAGUAAAAACGUUUUACUGGAUGUUAAGACAACUAAACAUUUGCCUGAGCAUACCUGCCAUGUCUUAAUCCUGACACCAUUCAUUGUGUUUUGCAUAACAACAUCUUUGACCGUAAUGUUAGAAACACAAGCCUUUGUGUUGUCUUUCCCUAGACUUCCAAUGCUGAUUCCAUGUCCUGGUCCACAAUUUAUGUUGUGUACAUACACAUUGGUGCAUCCAGUUUGUAUGGAGACACAGUCAUCUCCUGUACGAAACCAAAAAAGUUUGUCGGUGAGUAUAUUUAGAGUGUACUCACAUUUAAGUUAAAGGACAAAUAUGUGCUUAGCUCUUUCGAUGUUCAAAUUGUCUAUGCUAUCAUAAAUUUUUCAUAUAGGUUUGCAUCUUCUUUUGAUCAGUUUUGGCAUCUACAGAUAAUGAUACAGGACCGAAAUAAAUAACAAAGAUGCAAUUGAACUGAAAUAAUUGACAAAAAGACAAAUUUCCUAUGUGUGGACAAGAUAUAGGAAAUUUACUAGUCUCACCCUAUAAUAUUGAAGUUGCUCUUUUACUAUCUGGACAAGAUCAGUUUUUGCAGGUAGGGUCUUAAAGCUUGUGGUGGUCAAAGUAUAAAUAACAGAUAGGCAGUUUCUAGGUGUUGAAAUGUUAGUGGUUAAAAUUCAAGUAUGUGGUCCUUAUGGAAUUAUCAAAGUGGACAAUAUUCUGGCAUCUUCUCUCAUUUAUCAGUUAUGUUAGUUGUAAAACUUUUCUCUCAAUGGUGAGAGAAUUUUCUUUACACACAGGGGUUUUAAUUUUUGAAGAAAUAGUUGCCUCAAGCCUUUUGGACUGGUUUGUAUUAAUUAGUUGAACUAAAUUCAAUGUAGGAAUUACCACAAGCAAUGUUGGAACUGCGGAUUAGCACGUCUUUGGAGUUCUGU